UACGGAGGGAGCGAGCGUUGUCCGAAGUUACUGGGCGUAAAGCGCGCGUAGGCGGGGAAUUAAGUGAGAAGUGAAAGGCUGGGGCUCAACCUCAUGCAGUGCUCCUCAUACUGGUUCUCUUGAGGGCGGUAGGGAGAAGUGGAAUGGCUGGUGUAGCGGUGAAAUGCGUAGAUAUCAAGCGGAACACCGGUGGCGAAGGCGGCCUUCUGGACAGUGACUGACGCUGAGACGCGAAAGCGUGGGGAGCAAACAGG
This 254-nucleotide ribosomal RNA is filed under the name uncultured bacterium. Its description in RNAcentral is "partial 16S ribosomal RNA". It matches the Rfam family "Bacterial small subunit ribosomal RNA", at positions 524 to 776 of the family's 1533-position model. The record is from RNAcentral.